Molecule: ribosomal RNA, 293 nt
Filed under: uncultured bacterium
Lineage: Bacteria
Description: partial 16S ribosomal RNA
Rfam family: Archaeal small subunit ribosomal RNA
Source: RNAcentral
GUGCCAGCCGCCGCGGUAAUACCGGCAGCUCAAGUGAUGUCCCAUAUUAUUGGGCCUAAAGCGUCCGUAGCUGGCCGACCAAGUCUCCCGAGAAAUCCACCCGCCCAACGGGUGGGCGUCCGGUAGAAACUGCACGGCUUGGGACCGGAAGGCUCGAGAGGUACGUCCGGGGUAGGAGUGAAAUCCCGUAAUCCCGAACGGACCACCGAUGGCGAAAGCAUCUCGAGAAAACGGAUCCGACAGUGAGGGACGAAAGCUAGGGUCUCGAACCGGAUUAGAAACCCGGGUAGUCC